GCUUGUCUCAAAGAUUAAGCCAUGCAUGUCUAAGUAUAAACAAAUCUAUACUGUGAAACUGCGAAUGGCUCAUUAAAUCAGUUAUCGUUUAUUUGAUGGUCCCUUACUACAUGGAUAACCGUAGUAAUUCUAGAGCUAAUACAUGCACAAAGGCCCGACUCACGAAGGGGUGUAUUUAUUAGAUGGAAACCAAUGCGGGGCAACCCGGAUUAUGGUGAUUCAUAAUAACUUUCAGAUCGAUCGCAAGAUCGAUGCAUCAUUCAAGUUUCUGCCCUAUCAGCUUUGGAUGGUAGGGUAUUGGCCUACCAUGGCUUUAACGGGUAACGGAGAAUUAGGGUUCGAUUCCGGAGAGGGAGCCUGAGAAAUGGCUACCACAUCCAAGGAAGGCAGCAGG
RNAcentral lists this ribosomal RNA (394 nucleotides) under uncultured Chrysophyceae. Its description in RNAcentral is "partial small subunit ribosomal RNA". It matches the Rfam family "Eukaryotic small subunit ribosomal RNA", at positions 30 to 432 of the family's 1831-position model. The record is from RNAcentral. Lineage: Eukaryota; Chrysophyceae.